UCCACUCCCCACUCUUUCCUCCACUCCCACACACUCUCCUCCUAUCUCUCCCCACGAAAUUGCUGCUCCACCAAGGCUCCAUGGCUGGCCAUGGCCAUGAGAGCACACCAAACCGCAGCUCUCCUUCUCUCUCAAGCUCCCCCUCCCCAUGAGAGCAUUCCUCUCACUCUCUUCUUCCCCAACCCUAGCUGGUUUCCUCUCCUCUUCUUCUUCCUCCAUUGCUAAGAUUGGAUCUUGAUGCAGGUGCAUGUUGGUCCAAGCAUGGAGAAGGUUGAGCUAUCCUCAGAUCUGAAGUUCUUGAGCAAAAUCCAAAUCGAGUGAUUCAAAGUUCCGCAGAUAGGUAUUGAAAAGAUAUACAACUUGGCGUUGGUCUCAUCCUCAAAUUCGUUACGGAUUUUGCACGAUGCGAACAAUUCCGGAGAAGAAGAAGAAGUGGAAUCGGACAAGGAUUGUAUUUAUGUUGUUGGGAUUCUUAUAUUGAUGGAGUUGAAAAAGUACAGGGACAAAUAAGCCAA
Molecule: long non-coding RNA, 515 nt
Organism: Lolium perenne
Lineage: Eukaryota; Viridiplantae; Streptophyta; Magnoliopsida; Poales; Poaceae
Source: RefSeq, a predicted model, not a curated record